This 698-nucleotide long non-coding RNA is filed under the name Homo sapiens (human). Its description in RNAcentral is "long non-coding RNA NONHSAT217477.1". The record is from RNAcentral. Lineage: Eukaryota; Metazoa; Chordata; Mammalia; Primates; Hominidae.
GACUUUCAGGACUGCAGGGGAAAGGGUGGACACCCAGCCUCCCGCCAGGAGGAUACAAAAAUACAUCAGUUUGCAAACCAGAAGAAGGUCCUCACCAGAAACCAACUAUGCUGGCACCCUGAUCUUGGACUUCUAGCCUCCAGAACUGUGAGAAAUAAAUGUGUGUUUAUAAACCAGUCAGUCAGUCUAUGGUGCUUUAUUAUAGCAUCUGGAACGAGCUAAGACAGCUGCUAAGUAGCAUUCCAUUUGACAAGGAAGACUUACCAUUCACACUACUUCUGAGUUCAAUGAAAGAGAGGCUCGGUUCCUUACCUGUAAAAUAGAGAUCAUAUAGAGAUGUCGGGAAGAUUUAAUAACAUCAUGCAAGCAAUAUGCCUACAAGAGUGCCUGUAAAACAUUAAGCCUUGGAAAUAAAAGAAGCAGAACUGUAACAUCCUGAGAAAACACAGAGACAUUGAAGUAUAUGAGCACGACACAUCUGCAAAUCUUUAAGCAAGCAAUAGAAAACUUAUACAGUACUUUCUAUGGUCAGUUGUGAUCAUAAAAAGAGAGUAAGAAGAAAAACAACUCUGAAAGACAAGAUUUGGUUUCUCUCUUUCAUUGUACACAGAAAAUAAGACUUGACCAUCUGGAAAAAGGAAGCCUGAGAAUGAAUAUAUAAGAAGAGGACAUAAAAUGGUGGAAAGAGAAAGCAUGGU